ACUACAUCUACUGCAGCACUAAAACAAGAAAUGGUGUUUUAUUGGUCAGUGAAGAUACUCAGAUCCUGUGAGUCUGCAAGCAUAUGAAAAAAGUGAACCUCUGGAACAAGAAAGGAAGGAAAUACGUGCGCCGUUGGCUCUUCCUGUGUGAACCCUUCCACCUCACCUGUGAAGCUCCUCCAUUCCCCCAGCUAUGCAAAGAAGGAAGAUGGGAGAAGUGCAAAGAUAUCAUUUAGAACUACUGGCUCUCGUUCAAGUGUUGCUCUUUCCUGAAGAAAUCCUAUAAAAUAACCGUCACUGCAAGAUUACUGUGCAGUUGAUCAUUAGGAUUUCUACCAAACUAUUUUGGAGAGAAACUACGAGGUUAUUAAACUCUAUGUCAUUCUCUGAAUUUGGUUUCCUUCCCUAACCACCUUGAAAAUCAAUUCAGAAACUCAGUGUAAUCCUUCACAUGCUUUUUGUGGGCUGUUUCAAAUGCAUCUGUUCACACACAGGCUUAGUCCUGGCUGUCGAAACUCUG
Molecule: long non-coding RNA, 520 nt
Filed under: Gallus gallus (chicken)
Lineage: Eukaryota; Metazoa; Chordata; Aves; Galliformes; Phasianidae
Source: RNAcentral